GUCUACGGCCAUGCCACCCUGAACAAGCCCGAUCCCGUCUGAAGCUAAGCAGGGUAGGGCCUGAUUGGUACUUGGAUGGGAGACCACCUAGGAAGACUAGGUACUGUAGGCA
Molecule: non-coding RNA, 112 nt
Organism: Pteropus alecto (black flying fox)
Lineage: Eukaryota; Metazoa; Chordata; Mammalia; Chiroptera; Pteropodidae
Source: Rfam